CGCGGUUCCCUACUUUUGGCUCGCUUUUUUCCUUUGUCGCACACAUGUUCUCACCCAAACACGACUCCCCAAACCCUCUGUUCUUAAAAGGGUUUCACCACUGGAAGCAUCCUCCCGUCACCACUCCUCUUUGAACCCUGGAAGGAGACUUCUCUGAGACCCAGAGAGUGAAAAAGAGAGAGAUGAAAGGUGUUGGCGGUUUCAAUGCAGGAGCAGCCUCGUCGGGGUCGACGUCGGCGGCGGAGGUGGUUGAGAAGGACUACGUGGGGCUCUCGGAGGCAACCUCCUCGCACCCCGCCGCUGUGGAGGAGGCAGCGGAGGGGGGGAGGAGAGAGGAGGACGAAGAGGACCUGGAGCUGGGGUUGAGCCUGGGGACGAAGAAUGUCGCCGGCGGUGGUGGUGGCAAGGCGGCGGCGGCGGCACCGUGGGGGCAGUCUUGCAGGAUUCUGACCGCCAAUGACUUCCCUUCUCUGGUGUCCCGUCCUUCGCCUAAGUCGUCCUCCACAUCCUCCGUUUCCUCCUCCUCCGCUGCCUUAGGGGGUGGAGCGGGUGGCGGCGGCGUCGCUGGGACCAAGAGGGCCGCAGACUCCGUUGCUCCGGAAGUCGUUGGAUCCGGUCACCCUCCCAGUCAGGUAGUGGUGGGAUGGCCACCUAUAAGGGCAUUCAGGAUGAACAGCUUGUUUAACCAAUCGAAAGAUAAUGCCUCUGGGACUAAUGCCACCACCCACAAGAAGACCAACAGCAACAACACCAAUAUGAAGGAAGCCAACGGGAACGAUGACCAGGAUAACAAAGGGAGGACUGCUGGGUGCUCUCGUUUUGUUAAGGUGAACAUGGAUGGAGAUCCCAUUGGGAGGAAGGUGGAUCUCAAUGCUCAUCACUCUUAUGAAACCCUUGCACUCUCUCUGGAGCUCAUGUUUCACAAACCCACCAUGGCCCUCAGUACCUUCGUCCAUGGUGUGAAGGCCUCAAAGUUGUGGGAUGGCUCUUCUGAAUUUGCUCUUACCUAUGAAGACAAGGAUGGGGACUUGAUGCUGGUUGGAGAUGUCCCUUGGGGGUAGGCAUUCUUUCCAUUCCAUACUUAUCACAAAUGAGCUAAGGGAGCAUCACGAGCAAAUUGCUUAAUGGCAGGCUUCUUGCACUGGAUGUUGAAUGUUCUUGGACACUGUCAAGAGACUUAGAAUUAUGAGGACCGCCGAUGCCAGUGGGCUUGCUUCAAGGUUCCAAUCCUCCAAUAAAUCUUAUGAGUUAAUACGAGGCAAGCCUUGAGAGGAGAUGAAAGAACAAGUGCUGUUGACUAUAUCGAGAAAAAGAAAAGGUAGAAGAAUAGACAAAGACAAGAUCUUUUCCUUUUUGCUUUUCUCUUGGGUGAAGCCAGGAUCACAACUACCCAUUUGUUUGAUUUUGCCCUGCUAGAACCCCUUUCUUGGGUAAAGCACCCCUCUUGUUGGGUGGGUUGCAAGGUACACCAAUAUGUUUCCAAUCUCUCUGUAGCUCCAUGCAUAUGACCAGUAUAUGUGAAUGGUGCUUCCAAUAGUGUAAAUAUUGCCGUCUGUUUGCUUCAGGAUUUGAGGGAUAAGAUGAGCUUUAUCUGUUUCACAUAUCCUGGUGAAAUAGAUGAUUUUGAAUGUUUAGUGUUGUUUAUCGAAUUGCAAAAUUAUUUCAUUCGAGAGGCUAGCUUUCCAGUAUUUUGGCUCUGGUAAGAUGGCAUUUCUCUAUUGCU
Elaeis guineensis (African oil palm) is the source of this 1723-nucleotide RNA transcript. It is a transcript of the gene named auxin-responsive protein IAA10, with no coding region annotated. The record is from RefSeq and is a predicted model, not a curated record. NCBI's taxonomy places the organism in Eukaryota, Viridiplantae, Streptophyta, Magnoliopsida, Arecales, Arecaceae.